RNAcentral lists this ribosomal RNA (243 nucleotides) under uncultured bacterium. Its description in RNAcentral is "partial 16S ribosomal RNA". It matches the Rfam family "Bacterial small subunit ribosomal RNA", at positions 57 to 305 of the family's 1533-position model. The record is from RNAcentral.
GCAAGUCGAGCGAUAACGGUCUUCGGACUUAUUAAAGCGGCGGACGGGUGAGUAACGCGUGGGAAUCUACCUAGUAGUGGGGGACAACAGUUGGAAACGACUGCUAAUACCGCAUACGCCCUACGGGGGAAAGGGGGGGAUCUUCGGACCUUCUGCUAUUGGAUGAGCCCGCGUAAGAUUAGCUUGUUGGUGGGGUAAAGGCCUACCAAGGCGACGAUCUUUAGCUGGUCUGAGAGGAUGAUC